Molecule: non-coding RNA, 74 nt
Organism: Trichonephila inaurata madagascariensis
Lineage: Eukaryota; Metazoa; Arthropoda; Arachnida; Araneae; Nephilidae
Source: the annotation of a GenBank genome assembly
GUCCCUGUAACGCAAUUGAUAGCCGAUUGGAUUUCUAAUCCAACGAUUCGUGGGUUCGAAUCCCAUCUGGGAUG